GAUGAACGCUGGCGGCGUGCCUAAUACAUGCAAGUAGAACGCUGAAGGAGGAGCUUGCUCUUCUGGAUGAGUUGCGAACGGGUGAGUAACGCGUAGGUAACCUGCCUGGUAGCGGGGGAUAACUAUUGGAAACGAUAGCUAAUACCGCAUGACAACCGUUAUUGCAUGAUAACUGUUUAAAAGGGGCAACUGCUCCACUACCAGAUGGACCUGCGUUGUAUUAGAUAGUUGGUGAGGUAACGGCUCACCAAGGCGACGAUACAUAGCCGGCCUGAGAGGGUGAUCGGCCACACUGGAACUGAGACACGGCCCAGACUCCUACGGGAGGCAGCAGUGGGGAAUAUUGGGCAAUGGACGGAAGCCUGACCGAGCAACGCCGCGUGGGUGAAGAAGGUUUUCGGAUCGUAAAGCCCUUUUGUAGGGAAAGAAAAGGUGGAGGGUUGGAAAGUGCUGUUGUGACGGUAACCUACCAGAAAGGGACGGCUAACUACGUG
Molecule: ribosomal RNA, 494 nt
Filed under: uncultured bacterium
Lineage: Bacteria
Description: partial 16S ribosomal RNA
Rfam family: Bacterial small subunit ribosomal RNA
Source: RNAcentral